This 1443-nucleotide ribosomal RNA is filed under the name metagenome. RNAcentral's name for it is "bacterial SSU rRNA". It matches the Rfam family "Bacterial small subunit ribosomal RNA". The record is from RNAcentral.
AGAGUUUGAUCCUGGCUCAGGAUGAACGCUGGCGGCGUGCUUAACACAUGCAAGUCGAACGCACCUUCGGGUGAGUGGCGGACGGGUGAGUAACGCGUGGGAAUCUGCCCUUAGGAGGGGGAUAACGGCUGGAAACGGCCGCUAAUACCCCAUAUGCCGAGAGGUGAAACGAAUUUCGCCUGAGGAUGAGCCCGCGUCUGAUUAGCUAGUUGGUGGGGUAAGAGCCCACCAAGGCGACGAUCAGUAGCUGGUCUGAGAGGAUGAUCAGCCACACUGGGACUGAGACACGGCCCAGACUCCUACGGGAGGCAGCAGUGGGGAAUUUUCCGCAAUGGGCGAAAGCCUGACGGAGCAACGCCGCGUGAGGGAUGAAGGCCUCUGGGCUGUAAACCUCUUUUCUCAAGGAAGAAGACAUGACGGUACUUGAGGAAUAAGCCACGGCUAAUUCCGUGCCAGCAGCCGCGGUAAUACGGGAGUGGCAAGCGUUAUCCGGAAUUAUUGGGCGUAAAGCGUCCGCAGGCGGCUCUGUAAGUCUGUUGUUAAAGCGUGGAGCUCAACUCCAUUUCAGCAAUGGGAACUACAGGGCUUGAGUGUGGUAGGGGCAGAGGGAAUUCCCGGUGUAGCGGUGAAAUGCGUAGAUAUCGGGAAGAACACCAGUGGCGAAGGCGCUCUGCUGGGCCAUAACUGACGCUCAUGGACGAAAGCCAGGGGAGCGAAAGGGAUUAGAUACCCCUGUAGUCCUGGCCGUAAACGAUGAACACUAGGUGUCGGGGGAAUCGACCCCCUCGGUGUCGUAGCCAACGCGUUAAGUGUUCCGCCUGGGGAGUACGCACGCAAGUGUGAAACUCAAAGGAAUUGACGGGGGCCCGCACAAGCGGUGGAGUAUGUGGUUUAAUUCGAUGCAACGCGAAGAACCUUACCAGGGUUUGACAUCCUGCGAAUCCCUUGGAAACUUGGGAGUGCCUUCGGGAGCGCAGAGACAGGUGGUGCAUGGCUGUCGUCAGCUCGUGUCGUGAGAUGUUGGGUUAGGUCCCGCAACGAGCGCAACCCACGUCUUUAGUUGCCAGCAUUCAGUUGGGCACUCUAGAGAGACCGCCGGUGAUAAACCGGAGGAAGGUGUGGAUGACGUCAAGUCAUCAUGCCCCUUACAUCCUGGGCUACACACGUACUACAAUGCUACGGACAGAGGGCAGCAAGCUCGCGAGAGUUAGCAAAUCCCAUAAACCGUGGCUCAGUCCAGAUCGUAGGCUGCAACUCGCCUACGUGAAGGAGGAAUCGCUAGUAAUCGCAGGUCAGCAUACUGCGGUGAAUACGUUCCCGGGCCUUGUACACACCGCCCGUCACACCAUGGAAGUUGGCCAUGCCCGAAGUCGUUACUCCAACCCUUGUGGAGGAGGACGCCGAAGGUGGGGCUGAUGACUGGGGUGAAGUCGUAACAAGGUA